Molecule: long non-coding RNA, 102 nt
Organism: Glycine soja
Lineage: Eukaryota; Viridiplantae; Streptophyta; Magnoliopsida; Fabales; Fabaceae
Exons: 2
Source: RefSeq, a predicted model, not a curated record
GAGCAGCGUUUCUUUUUUUUUAUUAUUAUUACAAGAAAUGGGAGUUGGAGGUACAUUGGAGUACUUGUCUGAUCUAAUGGGCAGUGGCCACCACCACCACAA